GACGAACGCUGGCGGCGUGCCUAAUACAUGCAAGUUGAGCGCUGAAGGUUGGUACUUGUACCAACUGGAUGAGCAGCGAACGGGUGAGUAACGCGUGGGGAAUCUGCCUUUGAGCGGGGGACAACAUUUGGAAACGAAUGCUAAUACCGCAUAAAAACUUUAAACACAAGUUUUAAGUUUGAAAGAUGCAAUUGCAUCACUCAAAGAUGAUCCCGCGUUGUAUUAGCUAGUUGGUGAGGUAAAGGCUCACCAAGGCGAUGAUACAUAGCCGACCUGAGAGGGUGAUCGGCCACAUUGGGACUGAGACACGGCCCAAACUCCUACGGGAGGCAGCAGUAGGGAAUCUUCGGCAAUGGACGGAAGUCUGACCGAGCAACGCCGCGUGAGUGAAGAAGGGUUUCGGAUCGUAAAACUCUGUUGGUAGAGAAGAACGUGGGUGAGAGUGGAAAGCUCAUCAAGUGACGGUAACUACCCAGAAAGGGACGGCUAACUACGUG
This 497-nucleotide ribosomal RNA is filed under the name uncultured bacterium. RNAcentral describes it as "partial 16S ribosomal RNA". It matches the Rfam family "Bacterial small subunit ribosomal RNA", at positions 28 to 507 of the family's 1533-position model. The record is from RNAcentral.